AGCUCCAAUAGCGUAUAUUAAAGUUGUUGCAGUUAAAAAGCUCGUAGUCGGAUUUCGGGGCGGGCCGAGCGGUCUGCCGAUGGGUAUGCACUGUUCGGCGCGUCCUUCUUUCCGGAGACUAGUUCUACUCUUAACUGAGCGGGACUGGGAGACGGAUCGUUUACUUUGAAAAAUCAGAGUGUUUCAAGCAGGCAGCUCGCUCUUGCAUGGAUUAGCAUGGGAUAAUGAAAUAGGACUUUGGUGCUAUUUUGUUGGUUUCGAACACCGAAGUAAUGA
This 276-nucleotide ribosomal RNA is filed under the name uncultured eukaryote. RNAcentral's name for it is "partial small subunit ribosomal RNA". It matches the Rfam family "Eukaryotic small subunit ribosomal RNA", at positions 587 to 868 of the family's 1831-position model. The record is from RNAcentral.